Molecule: ribosomal RNA, 468 nt
Filed under: uncultured bacterium
Lineage: Bacteria
Description: partial 16S ribosomal RNA
Rfam family: Bacterial small subunit ribosomal RNA
Source: RNAcentral
GACGAACGCUGGCGGCGUGCUUAACACAUGCAAGUUGAACGGAAAGGCCCUGCUUUUGUGGGGUGCUCGAGUGGCGAACGGGUGAGUAACACGUGAGUAACCUGCCCUUGACUUUGGGAUAACUUCAGGAAACUGGGGCUAAUACCGGAUAGGAGCUCCUGCUGCAUGGUGGGGGUUGGAAAGUUUCGGCGGUUGGGGAUGGACUCGCGGCUUAUCAGCUUGUUGGUGGGGUAGUGGCUUACCAAGGCUUUGACGGGUAGCCGGCCUGAGAGGGUGACCGGCCACAUUGGGACUGAGAUACGGCCCAGACUCCUACGGGAGGCAGCAGUGGGGAAUAUUGCACAAUGGGCGGAAGCCUGAUGCAGCCAAGCCGCGUGCGGGAUGACGGCCUUCGGGUUGUAAACCGCUUUCGCCUGUGACGAAGCGUGAGUGACGGUAAUGGGUAAAGAAGCACCGGCUAACUACGUG